CAGCAUGUUUUUGGGUCAAACAAGAGUCUCCGCAUCCAUCAGGCCUCCCACAACAGCACCAACAGUGUGACCUUCAACUGUAAAAUCAACAUGCAGGAUCUGUGUCGCUGAAGAAAACCUUCACAGACAGAAGCAUGGGAGGAUACAUAUCACCUGGUCUCAGCACAAUGUUACUGCCCAGAGCCUCUGGAACAUCAGUGGACGCCAUCUUCCUGGAGAGAGAGAAAGAAAAAAUCACCUAUGUGUCCUUCAUUUAAUCAUUCUGCGCAACCACUUCCUGUAUCCUGGUUGCACUGUCUCCAUAUGUCCUGCUCAGCAUGGAGAGAGGACUUCUUUGUGCACAAUGAGGAGGAGUCUGCCGCUUGGCUUCCAGUAGCUGUUUGGUUGGCCACCGCCUUCACCACGCUCCCCCCUCCUCCUCCUCCUCCUCCUCUUCUUCCUCCUCCUCCCAUCAUCUGCAGCAGCAGCAGCAGCAGCAAGCAGCCCAG
Molecule: long non-coding RNA, 488 nt
Organism: Entelurus aequoreus (snake pipefish)
Lineage: Eukaryota; Metazoa; Chordata; Actinopteri; Syngnathiformes; Syngnathidae
Exons: 4
Source: RefSeq, a predicted model, not a curated record